ACAAAAGGGUUGAAAGACUAAAAUGAAGAUAAAAACUUUAGAUAUGUGCAUCCAAAAUCCUGAGGAGGCUAGAAGCAUUCCAAAGCAAGACAGAGUGAACAGUGAGAGGUGAGAAGAAUGCACUUAAAGAAAUGUUUUUGUGAUUGUUUGUCUUAUUUUAGGCUUUACAACGAAUGUAAAAGACAAGUCUCAGGAAAAGAUGUAAUUUUAUGGAAGAAAAAAGAUAGAAAAUAACAUUACCCAAAUGAAAACAGAUGAAGAUAAAGAUCAUUUCUUGAACAAUAUCUUCACAUCAUGGCUGGGCAAAGUGGAAAGAGACAGAAAACUGAAAAGUGACAACUUAAAAACUUUCUUUAAACAUAUCACUCUGACACCAAUGUGUAAGAUGAAGUGGACAGGAAUGGAACUGUACUGGGAGGCUCUGACAGUUCGGGUGAGAAGAAAUGAAGGGUCCUGUAAGCAGAUGAGCAGAUGAACAGAAGAGCAGAAGAGCAGCACAGCCGAGAAGGAAUGAAUGGCACAGCAGAGAAGGAGAGAAGAGAAGGAGCAUCUGAACGUUGAGAGUUCAACUAGAAAUGGUCAGAGAGGAGACUGAUCAUGGGAUAGCCAAACUCCAGGAGAAGAUUAUGUUCCCACUCCAUCCCCUUUCCAGAUCCCCAAUCCAUCCCUCUGAGAGCCACCUCUACCACUCGAUAAAACCCCUGCAUUUACCAUCCUUUGAGUCUGUGUGUGACCUGAUUCUUUCUGGACACCGGACAAGGACCUGGGUAGAA
This 773-nucleotide long non-coding RNA is filed under the name Homo sapiens (human). Its description in RNAcentral is "HSALNT0327132". The record is from RNAcentral. Lineage: Eukaryota; Metazoa; Chordata; Mammalia; Primates; Hominidae.